Molecule: long non-coding RNA, 863 nt
Organism: Bubalus bubalis (water buffalo)
Lineage: Eukaryota; Metazoa; Chordata; Mammalia; Artiodactyla; Bovidae
Exons: 2
Source: RefSeq, a predicted model, not a curated record
CCGUGGGCCUCCAGCACCACAGUCUCCUCGCUCUCCAGACGCAGGAUGUUGGGGGUGAUCAUGGAAUACCUGCCGGAGGGGAGCAUGGGGCGUGGAGCUGUCAUCCCCGGAAGCCCGAGCUGCCAGCUCUUCCCCAGGGGCCUGCAUGCCUGGCAUAAGUAACCCGGGGCCAUGUUCUUCAGCUACAGAGACACAACAACCUCCUGCCCGGGCCUCCCUCCGGGUCAUGGCCAUCUGGUGAUCAGGGACCUUUCCCUGUUACAUCCACUUGGUAGCAGAUGAAAGCAGUGGGCAGAGAGCCACCUCUCGCCCCCAACUCCAGAUAUCUGGUCCUGGCCCUCAGUCUACUUUUAAGCAUGCAUUUAUUCACCAGACUCUUCCUGUGAGUCCAUUUCUGUGCUAGCAUCUCAUGUUCCACUUCCAGAAUCUUCCAUGUUGGCAUGGGGCUGGGGGCCGGGGACAGAGUCCAGCAUCAAUGCUCCUAGCCCCAUGGAGUGUUUUCUCCAGUGGAGAAGGACUCAGCUUCUUGGAGAGUCAGGGAAGGUUUCUUGGAGGAGGGGACAUUUCAACUGGGCUUUGAAGUGUGUGUAGGAGUUCACUAUUCAAGGACAAUGUUUUCUAGGGCAAGGAGAGCCUGGAAUUCCCUUCACCUAAUCUCGUCAAGAGGCCUGAGUGGCUAAAAAGUCAUAAUUGAGGAAAGUCCCAUGGCUAGCUUUUGUAUUACAUCAAUGCCUUCUUAGGGGAAGGAGGUUCAAGAAGGAUGGGACAUGUGUAUACCUAUGGCUGAUUCAUGUUUAUGUAUGGCAGAAACCAACACAACAUUGUAAAGCAAUUACCUUCCAAUUAAAAAAAAUUUAAAAACA